CGUUGCGAACUAGGUGUUGGCGGGAUUGACCCCGUCAGUGCCGCAGCUAACGCAUUAAGUUCGCCGCCUGGGAAGUACGGUCGCAAGAUUAAAACUCAAAGGAAUAGGCGGGGGCCCGCACAAGCAGCGGAGCGUGUGGUUUAAUUCGAGGCUACGCGAAGAACCUUACCUGGGCUUGACAUGCUUCGGAAAGCCUGGUGAAAGCCAGGUCCUCCCGCAAGGGACCGUUGCACAGGUGGUGCGUGGCUGUCGUCAGCUCGUGCCGUGAGGUGUUGGGUUAAGUCCCGCAACGAGCGCAACCCCUGUCCUUAGUUGAAUGCUCUAGGGAGACUGCCGGGCGAAACCCGGAGGAAGGUGGGGAUGAUGUCAAGUCAGCAUGCCCUUUAUGCCCAGGGCUACACACACGCUACAAUGGCCGGUACAACGGGCUCCGACACGGCGACGUGAAGGUAAUCCCUUAAAACCGGUCUCAGUUCGGAUUGCAGGCUGCAACCCGCCUGCAUGAAGUCGGAGUUGCUAGUAACCGCCGGUCAGCACACGGCGGUGAAUACGUUCCCGGGCCUUGCACUCACCGCCCGUC
RNAcentral lists this ribosomal RNA (580 nucleotides) under uncultured bacterium. RNAcentral describes it as "bacterial SSU rRNA". It matches the Rfam family "Bacterial small subunit ribosomal RNA", at positions 807 to 1398 of the family's 1533-position model. The record is from RNAcentral.